UCUAAACAUUUUCAAUGUUAUUAAUUUUUUGAAUAUAAACCCCUAAGAAAACAUAUUCACCUUUAAAUUUGCAAUUUAAAAUCAUUUUUGAAUAUAAGGUUUAGAAAAACCGAGAGGAUUUUAGUUAUCUAAACUAUUAUUAACCUUCAAAGUUGAAAAUAUUCAUUAGGUUAAAGCCUAAAAUUAGUUUAAUAGGUAAUUGACAAAAUUAAUUUCAUAAAUUGAAGAAAAAUUCAUAAACUAGAAAAUGACAAAUCAGUGAAUAGACAAUUACUCAACUUGAGAUUGUAGGUAGCAAAAUGACCAAUUCAGAAUAAGUAUGGAAGUAUGAAGUUGUAAUUGAAGUUGAAGCUAAUAUUCGUCAGGUCGUUGAACUCUAUGACUUGAUGAAUAUGGGAACAUAGUCUGAUAUCAAUGAAGUCAAAGCCGGGAAAAAUGUUCACAAAAGGUAACACACUUCAUAAACACGAUAUGCAAAUUAAGUUCAGAAUGCAAAAGUGAAUGUUCUAGUUGAAUUCAAGAGUGCUUGAAUUGACAAACUAAAAAACGUUCAUAAGAAUGAAAACGUGAAGCAUAGGUUUGAUAGAAUUCAAUAACCAGAAACCAACCAUGAAUUGAUUUAAAUUACGUUAUUACCGCUACGUUGCCGUUGACCAGUUGUCACUGAAUAGGCUGUGUCAAUGUUGCUUAGGCCUUAUUCUGAUCAGUGGACGGCCUCAGUCCCCUCGUUAUGGAUGAACUCUUCCACAGAGUAUAGUGGCUUGAACGCCAGCCUACAUCUCAUCCUUCUCUUGAAGUCAAAGACCCCAGCCUUCUUAUCUCCUCAGGCAGAAGAUUGAAGAGCUUCAGCGCCAACAUUGGAAAUGAUCCCUGAGUCCUUUAAAGUCUACAUCUUGGAUGUCAAGAUUCCUUGCUGAUCUGGUGUGGUGAUGGUGAGUCGCACAUCUUUGAUCGUACCUUCCAAUGUUAUCCUUCACAUGCACAAGGGAGUCAAAUACAUACUGACUGUAGUCUGUUGACUUGGUCAAUAUGUUAUGAGCUGAGAACAGUGGUCAGCAGUGCUCAAUUCUUCCCACAGAUGACAAAAUCCUAACUGCCUUCUUUUGUAGCAGCAAUAUUAUUCUCGUCCCAGCUGCAUGACCCCACAGUAGAAUUCUGUAGGUUACAUGACUAUGGAAUAGGGAAUGAUUUGAUACCAAAUAGUCUGAUGGGACAGCUGUCUUCAAUUUUCUCAUAAGGUAAGUGACUCUGGAAAACUUGUGACACAACUGUGAUAUAUGCUCGUUCCAUGUCAGCUUGGGAUCUAUCCAGAAUCCAAGUAAUUUAACUGAGCAUGUACUUACAGAACUGGUAUUCUUCGAUGUACAUAUUAGGCUUUGUGUUUUGUCCUUGUUCAUUUGAAGCCUAUUUUCUGAACCGGCUUUUAUCUCCAGCAAGGAGUCUAUCACAUUCCACCUGAACCUGUUCUAUACUUCUUUCCCUUGCCAACAGGGUUGUGUCAUCAGCGUACAAGAGAGACUGAGCUCCUAAGUCCAAAUCAUUCACAAGAAUCAGAAAUAACAGAGGGCCAAGCACUGAUCCUUGUGGGACUGCAUGGAGCACAUCAAGCUUAGCUGACUGAGCCUUUUCCACCUCCACAAUCUGCUUUCUGUUCUGCAGGUGCCAAGUACAAAGGAAGAGUGGGAGUUGGUGCAACAUAAAUUUGAAGUGCAGUGGAACUUUCCCAAUUGCAUAGGAGCAAUUGAUGGGAAACAUGUCCAAAUUAAG
RNAcentral lists this unclassified non-coding RNA (1767 nucleotides) under Nilaparvata lugens (brown planthopper). RNAcentral describes it as "uncharacterized LOC120350589, transcript variant X1". Lineage: Eukaryota; Metazoa; Arthropoda; Insecta; Hemiptera; Delphacidae. The record is from RNAcentral.